RNAcentral lists this ribosomal RNA (253 nucleotides) under uncultured bacterium. Its description in RNAcentral is "partial 16S ribosomal RNA". It matches the Rfam family "Bacterial small subunit ribosomal RNA", at positions 524 to 776 of the family's 1533-position model. The record is from RNAcentral.
AACGUAGGAGACAAACGUUAUCCGGAGUUACUGGGCGUAAAGGGCGUGUAGGCAGUUUGUUAAGUCUGGCGUGAAAGCUCUCGGCUAAACCGGGAGAGGUCGUUGGAUACUGGCAAACUAGAGGACGGUAGAGGCGUGUGGAAUUCCGGGUGUAGUGGUGAAAUGCGUAGAGAUCCGGAGGAACACCAGUGGCGAAGGCGACACGCUGGGCCGUACCUGACGCUAAAGCGCGACAGCAUGGGGAGCAAACGGG